This 253-nucleotide ribosomal RNA is filed under the name [Clostridium] methylpentosum DSM 5476. Its description in RNAcentral is "partial 16S ribosomal RNA". It matches the Rfam family "Bacterial small subunit ribosomal RNA", at positions 524 to 776 of the family's 1533-position model. Lineage: Bacteria; Bacillati; Bacillota; Clostridia; Eubacteriales; Oscillospiraceae. The record is from RNAcentral.
UACGUAGGUGGCAAGCGUUGUCCGGAAUUACUGGGUGUAAAGGGAGCGUAGGCGGGAAAGCAAGUUGGGAGUGAAAUGUAUGGGCUCAACCCAUAAACUGCUUUCAAAACUGUUUUUCUUGAGUGAAGUAGAGGCAGGCGGAAUUCCUAGUGUAGCGGUGAAAUGCGUAAAUAUUAGGAGGAACACCAGUGGCGAAGGCGGCCUGCUGGGCUUUAACUGACGCUGAGGCUCGAAAGCGUGGGUAGCAAACAGG